GACGAACGCUGGCGGCGUGCUUAACACAUGCAAGUCGAACGGAAAGGCCCUGCUUUUGUGGGGUGCUCGAGUGGCGAACGGGUGAGUAACACGUGAGUAACCUGCCCUUGACUUUGGGAUAACUUCAGGAAACUGGGGCUAAUACCGGAUAGGAGCUCCUGCUGCAUGGUGGGGGUUGGAAAGUUUCGGCGGUUGGGGAUGGACUCGCGGCUUAUCAGCUUGUUGGUGGGGUAGUGGCUUACCAAGGCUUUGACGGGUAGCCGGCCUGAGAGGGUGACCGGCCACAUUGGGACUGAGAUACGGCCCAGACUCCUCCGUGAGGCAGCAGUGGGGAAUAUUGCACAAUGGGCGGAAGCCUGAUGCAGCAACGCCGCGUGCGGGAUGACGGCCUUCGGGUUGUAAACCGCUUUCGCCGGUGACGAAGCGUGAGUGACGGUAAUGGGUAAAGAAGCACCGGCUAACUACGUG
This 468-nucleotide ribosomal RNA is filed under the name uncultured bacterium. Its description in RNAcentral is "partial 16S ribosomal RNA". It matches the Rfam family "Bacterial small subunit ribosomal RNA", at positions 28 to 507 of the family's 1533-position model. The record is from RNAcentral.